GACGAACGCUGGCGGCGUGCUUAACACAUGCAAGUCGAACGGAAAGGCCCUGCUUUUGUGGGGUGCUCGAGUGGCGAACGGGUGAGUAACACGAGAGUAACCUGACCUUGACUUUGGGAUAACUUCAGGAAACUGGGGCUAAUAUCGGAUAGGAGCUCCUGCUGCAUGGUGGGGGUUGGAAAGUUUCGGCGGUUGGGGAUGGACUCGGGGCUUUUGAGCUUGUUGGUGGGGUUGUGGCUUACCAAGGCUUUGACGGGUAGCCGGCCUGAGAGGGUGACCGGCCACGUUGGGACUGAGAUACGGCCCAGACUCCUACGGGAGGCAGCAGUGGGGAAUAUUGCACAAUGGGCGGAAGCCUGAUGCAGCAACGCCGCGUGCGGGAUGACGGCCUUCGGGUUGUAAACCGCUUUCGCCUGUGACGAAGCGUGAUUGACGGUAAUGGGUAAAGAAGCACCGGCUAACUACGUG
This 468-nucleotide ribosomal RNA is filed under the name uncultured bacterium. RNAcentral's name for it is "partial 16S ribosomal RNA". It matches the Rfam family "Bacterial small subunit ribosomal RNA", at positions 28 to 507 of the family's 1533-position model. The record is from RNAcentral.